This 1457-nucleotide ribosomal RNA is filed under the name metagenome. RNAcentral describes it as "bacterial SSU rRNA". It matches the Rfam family "Bacterial small subunit ribosomal RNA". The record is from RNAcentral.
AGAGUUUGAUCGUGGCUCAGGAUGAACGCUAGCGGCGCGCUUAAUGCAUGCAAGUCGAGCGAUGAGGCUCCUUCGGGAGUACAUCAGCGGCAGACGGGUGAGUAACACGUGGGUAACCUACCCCCAAGACUGGGAUAACGGCUGGAAACAGGCGCUAAUACCGGAUAGGCUUGUUUGGUUGGAAUACGAGACAAGUAAAGUUUCGACGCUUGGGGCGGGGCCUGCGGCCCAUCAGCUAGUUGGUAGGGUAACGGCCUACCAAGGCAACGACGGGUAGGGGGUGUGAGAGCACGACCCCCCACAAUGGGACUGAGACACGGCCCAUACUCCUACGGGAGGCAGCAGCAGGGAAUAUUGCCCAAUGGACGGAAGUCUGAGGCAGCGACGCCGCGUGGAUGACGAAGGCCUUCGGGUUGUAAAAUCCUUUUGUCGGGGAAGAGGAAGGACGGUACCUGACGAAUAAGCGUCGGCUAACUACGUGCCAGCAGCCGCGGUAAGACGUAGGACGCAAGCGUUAUCCGGAUUUACUGGGCGUAAAGCGCCUGUAGGCGGUGAGGUAAGUCGGUUGUGAAAGCCCCGUGCUUAACGCGGGGAGGCCAAGCGAUACUGCCUGACUUGAGGACGGUAGGGGGGAGUGGAAUUCCCGGUGUAGCGGUAAAAUGCGCAGAGAUCGGGAGGAACACCAGUGGCGAAGGCGGCUCCCUGGGCCGUACCUGACGCUAAGAGGCGAAAGCUAGGGGAGCGAACAGGAUUAGAGACCCUGGUAGUCCUAGCCCUAAACGCUGGAUACUAGGUGUGGGGCCGAAGGGUUCCGUGCCACAGCUAACGCAGUAAGUAUCCCGCCUGGGGACUACGGCCGCAAGGCUAAAACUCAAACGAAUUGACGGGGACCCGCACAAGCAGCGGAGCGUGUGGUUUAAUUCGAUGCUACACGAAGAACCUUACCUGGAUUUGACAUGCAUGUGGUAGCGAAGUGAAAGCGGAGCGACCCUUCGGGGAGCAUGCACAGGUGCUGCAUGGCUGUCGUCAGCUCGUGCCGUGAGGUGUCGGGUUAAGUCCCGUAACGAGCGCAACCCUUGUCCUUAGUUAUACGUGUCUAGGGAGACUGCCGGCGACAAGCCGGAGGAAGGUGGGGAUGACGUCAAGUCAGCAUGGCCUUUAUGUCCAGGGCUACACACACGCUACAAUGGUCGGUACAAUGGGCCGCGCAGCCGUGAGGCGAAGCGAAUCUCAGCAAAGCCGAUCUCAGUUCGGAUUGCAGGCUGCAACCCGCCUGCAUGAAGCCGGAGUUGCUAGUAACCGCGCGUCAGCUAUAGUGCGGUGAAUACGUUCCCGGGUCUUGUACACACCGCCCGUCACGUCAUGGGAGUUGGCAACGCCUGAAGUCGGUAGUCUGACCAAACGGAGGACGCCGCCGAAGGCGGGGCUAGCGACUGGGACGAAGUCGUAACAAGGUA